Molecule: RNA transcript, 2372 nt
Organism: Scaptodrosophila lebanonensis
Lineage: Eukaryota; Metazoa; Arthropoda; Insecta; Diptera; Drosophilidae
Gene name: polycomb protein PHO
Exons: 8
Source: RefSeq, a predicted model, not a curated record
CGCGAUAUUCAUUGUAAAUAACAAAUGCACAAACGUUGACUCCGCACAUGCUCAGUCGGCUGCAAUAGUACGCGUUAAAUAAAAAGUGUUUAUGCGACAAUGAGCGUGCUUUAGUUUUUGCUGUCCGCCUGCAACACGGCGCACACACACAAACACCAGCGAAAAUAACAUUACAACAUCAUCCAACGGUUCGCUACAUAGUUGUGCUUUUUACUAAAACAUAGCUCAGGAAACUCAAAGAAACCUAGAAACAUACUUAUACACAUUUAUACAACAACACCUUAAAAGAAAGUUAUAGCUUGGCAUAUGUCUCAUAUGUCUGGUAUGACCUGUGAAGUACAAAACUCAGUACAAAACGUGUCCGGUAGCAUCAGUUCAACAGUAAUGGAUUCGAGUAACUGUAACUUUAUGGGUUACGAACGUUUUGGGAUACUAGUCCAAGAUGAUAUUUCCAAAGCCGAUGAUCUCCGAUCUAUAAACCUUCAAAAUGUUAUAAUCCCAGAUGGCAUCGCUCACACUGAUGAUAUUACUGGAGCCCUCAAUUCUGAAGAUGCUAAAGUUUUUGAUUCAUUUAUUCAAUCAGAGCCGCACUGUAGUGGCGCCUAUUUAGAUGGGAAAUCAUUAUUGAAAGACAGUAUGUGUUUGGCCUUAAACAAAACGAAGAAAAAACCCAACAACGUAGUGCAGAGCAACGAUAUCAUGGUUAAAAUAAACAGUUCAAAACCAACCUUCAACAAUAGCGAGCAGCAAAUUCCCCAAACCAUAGUGAAUUGCAUUCAAAAUCUGCCAGAGCAUGAUGUGACCAGAGUGCGAACGGUAGACCCAGGAACAAGCCUUAAUAGUAAAGAUAUGGGUGCAAAUAAUAUGAACUUAAUGGCCCCAAAUGUCAAAUCAAGAAGAUGGGAGCAGAAAUUGGUGCAAAUCAAAACAAUGGAAGGUGAAUUCAGUGUGACAAUGUGGGCUUCUGGGACAUCAGAUGAUGAAUAUUCGGAAUCCGAACAAAAUAUCGAAGAUACAGAAACCGUUUCUAAUGCAGCUGAAAUUUCCCCACUAUCGAGGAAAGACAGUAUUUUUCCAACCGAUGAAACAUUGUUGCAAGAACACGUUUUCUUCCAGCACCCGCAUGAAAUAUUAUUACACCAUCAGCUGGUGGCUCCUAUGGCAGCGCCAUCGUUGGAGUUUGUAGAGCAGGAGAAGGAUUACAAGAAAUAUCAAAUAGAUGAGAAUAAACCAAAAGAGAAGAAACAACCCACACAAACCAAGGCCAUAUCGAUUAAUAACAGUAAACUAAGUCCAAACUGUGUAGCACAACCAUCGUAUGCGAUUGCAGCACAGGGGAAUCAGCUCCUUGGUGGACAUGCAGUUUUACCUGUCGAUACCCAAACGCUGUCUGAGACCGAAGCUGAAAAUGAUUGCGAUUUGCCUUCCCAAGUAUCUGAAUCCAGCGGAGCUUUGCCCUUUAGGAUGGUUCCUCAAGGUAGGCUGCAAACUGAUGCCAGCACAAUGCCACCUCAAUUACUGUACAAUAACGGCUCAAUGGCAUCGCCGGCAAAUGAUAAUGCCCCGAAUGAGUCAACCGAAGUCUCGCCCUAUGCAAAUGAUAAGAAAAUUGCCUGCCCCCAUAAGGGAUGUCAUAAGUAUUUCCGCGACUCAUCUGCGAUGCGCAAACACUUACAUACGCAUGGUCCCAGAGUUCAUGUGUGUGCCGAGUGCGGCAAAGCAUUUGUGGAAAGUUCAAAACUAAAAAGGCAUCAAUUAGUUCAUACAGGAGAGAAGCCUUUUCAGUGUACCUUUGAAGGUUGCGGUAAACGAUUUUCGCUUGACUUUAAUUUGAGAACACACGUGAGAAUACACACUGGAGAUAGACCAUUUGUUUGCCCCUUCGAUGGAUGCAACAAGAAAUUUGCCCAAUCCACAAACCUCAAAUCACAUAUAUUAACACAUGCGAAAGCCAAACGGAAUGCAGGCACUGUGCGUAAUAACACCUGUCCCAGUAACGAAUCAAGCAGUCCCGUCGAGGGAAGCUCUACGAAUUUUGUAAAAGUUGAAAUGCGUGAUAAUGUGUCGGAUACACCUUUUAUGUAUGCAGAGUGAAAUGCAGAACAUAGGUCUAGGAUAGGAAUAAGGAUAUCAUAAGCCUGUUUAUCAAAGGAUUAGUAAGAGAAACAAAUGCAGAAAUAUUUUGGGAACAUCCGCAGAUCGUCUACUAGAGCCUAAGGGAGCAUGGUACUGUUUCUUGAGAUUAGCUGGAAGAACGUAUUUUUUGGAUUAAAUUGAAAUAAGCUUUUGUUUAUCGUGCCAAUAGCGAACGGAAUAACAUGAAAUUGUAAAUAAAAAUUGAAAAAUAUAUGCAAUUAUCACAUACAGCAAAA